CUGGAAUGUUAAACUCAACAGAAGAUGCAGUAAUCAACAGUGUCUAAGACAGCAAAUAAUAGUAAACAGUAUACUGUUAACAGGAUCAAUUUGCGAACCCCGGGAAAGAAGGGGAUUAUUGCAAAAAUUGGCCUGGACACUGUUUCCGGCUGCUUUGCUAAUCCGUGCAAAUACAGGGAUUUGAGUGCAAAAUAGCGAAGGAUAAGGUUCCUUAUCCACCAUCUACUUUCUCUCCCGAGCGGUUCCUCAUGGGAUUAACCGCCGCCGGCCUUGCUGUCCCCGCGAGGGCUUCCUCGCCGGUGGAGAGGACCGCCGCCGCGUGCCGUUGGUGGCCUCGGGUGCUACCACGCCACGCGAGGUCUGUGGUCUAGGGCACGGCCGCCACGCCUAUGUGACAGUUCCGCCGGGAGGCGUCGCCGCGGAAACGGCCGAGGCGCGGGUGGCCAUAGGCUUACAUCGCUGCUCUGCCGGAGGUCUCUGCGCCGCAGGACUUGCUGUGUUGCCGCCGCUGCCACCGCGCGCAGACACGCCGGAGAGCGACGCUGUUGCGUCAUCGGCCGACAGUAGUAUGCCGCCACCCGCGCGCCUAGGCGGCCACGCCUCCGAGGAGCCCGGCCGGGAGCCAUGGCCAUAGGCACCACCGUCCUGGGAGCAGCGUCGAGGCCGCGCCGCUGGUCGGUAGCACCGCCCUCGCGGUGAGCGCCUCCGUCUCACGCCGAGAAAGAAGUCCAUGGCUGCACCAUGGGCGUCGCCACUGUUGCGGGCUGGGCACCGCUGUCACGACCUCCAGCCAGAGCCUCUGCGCGAUGGAGACCUGGCCGGGAGGGAUGUGUUGUGCCACAACCAAGAAGAUGUUGCUGUUCUUCUGGCUGUUGCUUGCCUGAAGACAAAUGCCAAAGGUACUAGUUCCUGACGAUAGCUUUUGUUGUUUGCAAAAAUAAAAUCGGAAAGUAGCACCUUGUUCAUGUGGUAAUUAGAUCAAGACUUUGCUAUCUGGUGGUUGCUUGAUCUCCCCUGACCCCGACUUGUCUAUUUCUCGAGGCCAAUCAAUCGAGACGAAGUAGUGCCCAUCGUCGGCGCCGCUGCUGGGAGAUCGGGACCGUUUCGCCGGCCGAAGGCGGGCACCGCCGCGCUAUGCCGAGACCCGAGAGUCACGGCCGAUGGCUGGGAGCGCGCGUGUCCCCUUGCGCUGUUCAGCGCCGGGUCCGGGCUCACCACGCCGCCGCUUGGGGCCGGUCUGAAGUUCGGCAGUUCGUCGGGGCUGCCUCCGCCUUGUCCUAUUGCUCUCUGUAAGAGCGUGCUGAUAACGUGUUGAAAACGAGAGACAAUCGAUAGUAAUGAAUGUUAUCCUUUCAUUAGAUGAUCCAAGUAUUUAUACAGAUGGAACAGACGUGAUCGAUCACAGGAGGCGUCUGUUCGGGGAAGAAGAAAAUCGACGCGACGGUUGCAAAUAUGGCAACUGCCUGCGGUUAGACAAGGGGAGAUUCCCCCAUAAUUAACACAUGUUAAUUAACUUUAGGGCACCUCUAGUCGCCGGCGCACCGGCCGAAUGUUUCGGCCGGUUUGCUCCCAGCCGCCCGAUCUAGUAUGCAACACCGGCAGAUCCAAGCUUUUCUUCUAUUUUUUUACCUUGUCCUCGUCUCCUUGAGCGCUCGCCGUGCCGAUCGCCCGUCGGGGCCGCCCCAUGCUCCGGCACUCAGCUCGCCCCGACCGCUCGCCGCCCUGGCCGCCGGUUGGAGCUGACCGCUCGCCGCCCGUCGGAGCGCCAUGGAUGCAGCUCCGCGACUCAGCUCGUCCAGUCCGCUCGUUGCCCCGGCCGCCCGUCGGAGCCGCCCCGCGCUCCGGGACUCAGCUCACCCCGACCGCUCGCAGCCCCCGCUGCUCAUCGGAGUGCCAUGGAUGCAGCUCCGCCUCACCGAUGAAUGGUUCCAGCAAAAAACAAAGAUGCCUCGUGGUAGCAUUUUCCC
This 1967-nucleotide ribosomal RNA is filed under the name Triticum aestivum (bread wheat). Its description in RNAcentral is "partial small subunit ribosomal RNA". Lineage: Eukaryota; Viridiplantae; Streptophyta; Magnoliopsida; Poales; Poaceae. The record is from RNAcentral.